UACGUAGGGUGCAAGCGUUGUCCGGAAUUAUUGGGCGUAAAGAGCUCGUAGGCGGUCUGUCGCGUCUGCUGUGAAAACUCAGGGCUUAACCCUGAGCUUGCAGUGGGUACGGGCAGACUAGAGUGCGGUAGGGGAGAACGGAAUUCCUGGUGUAGCGGUGGAAUGCGCAGAUAUCAGGAGGAACACCGGUGGCGAAGGCGGUUCUCUGGGCAUUACCUGACGCUGAGGAGCGAAAGCAUGGGGAGCGAACAGG
Molecule: ribosomal RNA, 253 nt
Filed under: uncultured bacterium
Lineage: Bacteria
Description: partial 16S ribosomal RNA
Rfam family: Bacterial small subunit ribosomal RNA
Source: RNAcentral